UACGUAGGGGGCGAGCGUUGUCCGGAAUUAUUGGGCGUAAAGAGCGUGUAGGCGGUUCGGUAAGUCUGCCGUGAAAACCUGGGGCUCAACCCCGGGCGUGCGGUGGAUACUGCCGGGCUAGAGGGUGGUAGAGGCGAGUGGAAUUCCUGGUGUAGCGGUGAAAUGCGCAGAUAUCAGGAAGAACACCAAUGGCGAAAGCAGCUCUCUGGGACGGUACUGACGCUGAGACGCGAAAGCGUGGGGAGCGAACAGG
RNAcentral lists this ribosomal RNA (253 nucleotides) under uncultured bacterium. Its description in RNAcentral is "partial 16S ribosomal RNA". It matches the Rfam family "Bacterial small subunit ribosomal RNA", at positions 524 to 776 of the family's 1533-position model. The record is from RNAcentral.